Molecule: unclassified non-coding RNA, 467 nt
Filed under: uncultured Glomus
Lineage: Eukaryota; Fungi; Glomeromycota; Glomeromycetes; Glomerales; Glomeraceae
Description: SSU rRNA
Rfam family: Eukaryotic small subunit ribosomal RNA
Source: RNAcentral
AGCAGCCGCGGUAAUUCCAGCUCCAAUAGCGUAUAUUAAAGUUGUUGCAGUUAAAAGCUCGUAGUUGAAUUUUGGGUCUGGCCGGGCGGUCCGCCCUCUGGGUGAGCACUGUUCCGACGCCGGGCCUAUCCUUCUGGUGAGUCGGCAUGUCCUUUAUUGGGUGUGCCGGGGAACCAGGACCAUUACCUUGAAAAAUUGAGUGUUCAAAGCAGGCGUAUGCUCGGAUACAUUAGCAUGGAAUAAUGAAAUAGGACGCGUGGUGCUAUUUUGUUGGUUUCUAGAACCGCCGUAAUGAUUAAUAGGGAUAGUUGGGGGCAUUAGUAUUCAAUUGUCAGAGGUGAAAUUCUUAGAUUUAUUGAAGACUAACUUCUGCGAAAGCAUUUGCCAAGGAUGUUUUCAUUAAUCAAGAACGAAAGUUAGGGAUCGAAGACGAUCAGAUACCGUCGUAGUCUUAACCAUAAACUAUG